CGGAGGGUGCAAGCGUUGUCCGGAUUUAUUGGGUUUAAAGGGUGCGUAGGCGGCUCUUUAAGUCAGUGGUGAAAUCCUACAGCUUAACUGUAGAACAGCCAUUGAUACUGAAGAGCUUGAGUACAGACGAGGUAGGCGGAAUUUAUGGUGUAGCGGUGAAAUGCAUAGAUACCAUAAAGAACUCCUAUUGCGAAGGCAGCUUACUAGGCUGUAACUGACGCUGAGGCACGAAAGCGUGGGGAUCAAACAGGAUUAGAUACCCUGGUAGUCCACGCCGUAAACGAUGAUUACUCGAUGUUCGCGAUAUACAGUGAGCGUCCAAGCGAAAGCGUUAAGUAAUCCACCUGGGAAGUACGAUCGCAAGAUUG
Molecule: ribosomal RNA, 368 nt
Filed under: uncultured organism
Description: bacterial SSU rRNA
Rfam family: Bacterial small subunit ribosomal RNA
Source: RNAcentral